UACGUAGGUGGCAAGCGUUGUCCGGAUUUACUGGGCGUAAAGAGCGCGCAGGCGGUCGUUCAAGUCGAGUGUGAAAGCCCCCGGCUCAACUGGGGAGGGUCAUUCGAUACUGAUCGACUCGAAGGCAGGAGAGGGAAGUGGAAUUCCCGGUGUAGUGGUGAAAUGCGUAGAUAUCGGGAGGAACACCAGUGGCGAAGGCGACUUCCUGGCCUGUUCUUGACGCUGAGGCGCGAAAGCCAGGGGAGCAAACGGG
Molecule: ribosomal RNA, 253 nt
Filed under: uncultured bacterium
Lineage: Bacteria
Description: partial 16S ribosomal RNA
Rfam family: Bacterial small subunit ribosomal RNA
Source: RNAcentral